AAUAACGGGUUCAUCACGCGUGGUAUCCGGGCGGUAAUGGUAAACCGUUCUGCUCAGGUUAAGACUCCGGCAGGCCUGACGGAUACUGAGUCCGGUUUUCCAGACUCAGGUCAGCAAACAUC
This 122-nucleotide small RNA is filed under the name Escherichia coli. RNAcentral describes it as "isrN Hfq binding RNA". It matches the Rfam family "isrN Hfq binding RNA", at positions 2 to 122 of the family's 143-position model. The record is from RNAcentral. Lineage: Bacteria; Pseudomonadati; Pseudomonadota; Gammaproteobacteria; Enterobacterales; Enterobacteriaceae.